RNAcentral lists this ribosomal RNA (434 nucleotides) under uncultured bacterium. Its description in RNAcentral is "partial 16S ribosomal RNA". It matches the Rfam family "Bacterial small subunit ribosomal RNA", at positions 29 to 507 of the family's 1533-position model. The record is from RNAcentral.
AGCGAACGCUGGCGGCAGGCCUAACACAUGCAAGUCGAACGAACCUUUCGGGGUUAGUGGCGGACGGGUGAGUAACACGUGGGAACGUGCCUUUAGGUUCGGAAUAACUCAGGGAAACUUGUGCUAAUACCGAAUGUGCCCUUCGGGGGAAAGAUUAAUCGCCUUUAGAGCGGCCCGCGUCUGAUUAGCUAGUUGGUUGAGGUAAUGGCUCACCAAGGCGACGAUCAGUGGCUGGUCUGAGAGGAUGAUCAGCCACAUUGGGACUGAGACACGGCCCAAACUCCUACGGGAAGCAGCAGUGGGGAAUCUUGCGCAAUGGGCGAAAGCCUGACGCAGCCAUGCCGCGUGAAUGAUGAAGGUCUUAGGAUUGUAAAAUUCUUUCACCGGGGACGAUAAUGACGGUACCCGGAGAAGAAGCCCCGGCUAACUUCGUG